AUUAAAGUGGCAGAAAAAUUGCCAGGAAUUUAAGCUUCCUUAAUGAAAAUGUUUCCUUUAAUA
This 63-nucleotide transfer RNA is filed under the name Dermacentor sp. RNAcentral's name for it is "tRNA-Leu". Lineage: Eukaryota; Metazoa; Arthropoda; Arachnida; Ixodida; Ixodidae. The record is from RNAcentral.